RNAcentral lists this ribosomal RNA (465 nucleotides) under Vreelandella stevensii. Its description in RNAcentral is "partial 16S ribosomal RNA". It matches the Rfam family "Bacterial small subunit ribosomal RNA", at positions 338 to 795 of the family's 1533-position model. Lineage: Bacteria; Pseudomonadati; Pseudomonadota; Gammaproteobacteria; Oceanospirillales; Halomonadaceae. The record is from RNAcentral.
CCUACGGGCGGCAGCAGUGGGGAAUAUUGGACAAUGGGGGCAACCCUGAUCCAGCCAUGCCGCGUGUGUGAAGAAGGCCCUCGGGUUGUAAAGCACUUUCAGUGAGGAAGAACGCCUGGUGGUUAAUACCCAUCAGGAAAGACAUCACUCACAGAAGAAGCACCGGCUAACUCCGUGCCAGCAGCCGCGGUAAUACGGAGGGUGCGAGCGUUAAUCGGAAUUACUGGGCGUAAAGCGCGCGUAGGUGGCUUGAUAAGCCGGUUGUGAAAGCCCCGGGCUCAACCUGGGAACGGCAUCCGGAACUGGCAAGCUAGAGUGCAGGAGAGGAAGGUAGAAUUCCCGGUGUAGCGGUGAAAUGCGUAGAGAUCGGGAGGAAUACCAGUGGCGAAGGCGGCCUUCUGGACUGACACUGACACUGAGGUGCGAAAGCGUGGGUAGCAAACAGGAUUAGAUACCCGUGUAGUC